GGGCCAGUGGCCCAGCCUGGUUAAGGCGCCCGGCUGAUAACCGGGAGAUCGCCGGUUCGAAGGCUCUGGCUGCCGAAAAUCCGGCCUGGCCCA
RNAcentral lists this transfer RNA (93 nucleotides) under Candidatus Bathyarchaeota archaeon. Its description in RNAcentral is "tRNA-Ile". It matches the Rfam family "tRNA". From Rfam's summary of the family: Transfer RNA (tRNA) molecules are approximately 80 nucleotides in length. Their secondary structure includes four short double-helical elements and three loops (D, anti-codon, and T loops). Lineage: Archaea; Thermoproteati; Candidatus Bathyarchaeota. The record is from RNAcentral.